GGGGGAUCCCACGUGGAUCCAAUCUGUGCCCAUUUGGGACUGCUCACCCUGGGUAGAGACUGGGAGUGGCUAUAAUUCACUGAAGGAUAAGGAAGGCCCCCGCCUCAUCAGCUCCCACCUCCCCAUCCAACUCAUCCCCAAGUCUCUCUUCAGUUCCAAGGCCAAGGUGAUUUGUCUCAUCAGAAAUCCCAGAGAUAGUCUUGUGCCUGGUUAUUUUUUCUAUAGGAUUUUGAAUUUUAUUAAGAAACCAGAGUCACUGGAACAAUUUUUUGAAUGGUUCAUCCAAGGAAAUGAGCAGCAGAACCCCAGCCAGCCUUUCAGCUUGCCCCAUUAUAAACCAUCCUAG
Non-coding RNA from Ceratotherium simum simum (southern white rhinoceros), 346 nucleotides. NCBI's taxonomy places the organism in Eukaryota, Metazoa, Chordata, Mammalia, Perissodactyla, Rhinocerotidae. The record is from RefSeq and is a predicted model, not a curated record.